CCGAGAGGAGAAGAAUCCAGACCGUCAUCUAAGGUCCCGAAAUUCUGUCUAAGUUAGUCUAACGAAGUGUGGUCCCCGUGACAGCUAGGAUGUUGGCUUGGAAGCAGCCAUUCAUUCAAAGAGUGCGUAACAGCUCACUAGUCGAGGGUCCGUGCAUGGAUAAUAAUCGGGUAUAAAGUCAGAUACCGAAGGUGCGGGAUAGUAUAUAAAAAAAGUAUCGGUAGGGGAGCAUUCCAUCGGCUUAGAAUAUAGGUUGUGAGACCUGUUGGAGCUUAUGGAAAAGCAAAUGUAGGUAUAAGUAACGAUAAAAAGGGUUAGAUUCCCUUUCGCCGAAAGACCGAGGUUUCCCGGGCGAUGCCAAUCAGCCCGGGGUUAGUCGAGUCCUAAGUCUCAUCCUAAUGGAGCAGGCGAUGGCAGAUGCGGUUAAUAUUCCGCAACUUGCUUAAAGAGUGACGUGGAGACGGAGUAGUGACACUGUCGCGUUCAGACGGAAAGGAACGUUUACCGCCGUAUGUAAUGAGAAAUGCAGGCAAAUCCACAUUUCGAGCAGAAAGCGUAAAGUACAAUAUUCUCUUCGGAGGAAAUUGAUAGUACAGGUAAUCAGACUUCCAAGAAAAUCCGCUAACAUAAAUUUUUAAGCAACUCGUACCGCAAACGGACACACGUGGUCGGGUAGAACAUACUAAGGCGUUGAGAGAUUCAUGGUUAAGGAACUAGGCAAAUUGACCCUGUAACUUCGGGAUAAAGGGUCCUCGUGUUUAAAUAUACGAGGCGCAGAGAAUAGGUCCAGGCAACUGUUUAACAAAAACACAGGGCUGUGCUAACUCGAAAGAUGAUGUAUACAGCCUGACACCUGCCCGGUGCUGGAAGGUUAAGAGGAGAGCUUAGAAGCAAUUCGAAGGUUUGAAUUGAAGCCCCAGUAAACGGCGGCCGUAACUAUAACGGUCCUAAGGUAGCGAAAUUCCUUGUCGGGUAAGUUCCGACCUGCACGAAUGGUGUAAUGAUCCGGACGCUGUCUCAACCAUGAUCUCAGUGAAAUUGUAGUAUCGGUGAAGAUGCCGAUUACCCGCGAUGGGACGAAAAGACCCCGUGAACCUUUACUAUAGCUUAACAUUGACCUUGGUCAUCCGAUGUGUAGGAUAGGCCGGAGGCUUAGAAGUUUUUGCGCCAGCAGAAGUGGAGCCACCGUUGAAAUACGGCCCUUUGGCUGUCUGAGGUCUAACGCGCAUAGCGCGGACAUUGUUUGGUGGGUAGUUUGACUGGGGUGGUCGCCUCCAAAAGCGUAACGGAGGCUUCCAAAGGUACCCUCAGGUCGAUUGGUAACCGACCUCAAAGAGUGUAAUGGCAUAAGGGUGCUUGACUGGGAGGCAGACAUGCCGAGCAGGUAGGAAACUAGGGCAUAGUGAUCCGGCGGAUGUGUAUGGAAACUCCGUCGCUCAAAGGAUAAAAGGUACUCCGGGGAUAACAGGCUGAUCCCCCCCAAGAGCUCAUAUCGACGGGGUGGUUUGGCACCUCGAUGUCGGCUCGUCACAUCCUGGGGCUGGAGAAGGUCCCAAGGGUUGGGCUGUUCGCCCAUUAAAGUGGCACGCGAGCUGGGUUCAGAACGUCGUGAGACAGUUCGGUCUCUAUCUAUCGUGGGCGUUGGAGUUUUGAGUGGUUCUGACACUAGUACGAGAGGACCGUGUUGGACAGACCUCCGGUUUACCAGUUGUGCCGCCAGGUGCACUGCUGGGUAUCUGAGUCUGGUAUGGAUAAGCGCUGAAAGCAUCUAAGUGCGAAGCCUUCCGCGAGAUGAGAACUCCU
Molecule: ribosomal RNA, 1803 nt
Filed under: Prevotella amnii DSM 23384 = JCM 14753
Lineage: Bacteria; Pseudomonadati; Bacteroidota; Bacteroidia; Bacteroidales; Prevotellaceae
Description: bacterial LSU rRNA
Rfam family: Bacterial large subunit ribosomal RNA
Source: RNAcentral